This 2916-nucleotide ribosomal RNA is filed under the name Vibrio parahaemolyticus. Its description in RNAcentral is "23S ribosomal RNA". It matches the Rfam family "Bacterial large subunit ribosomal RNA". Lineage: Bacteria; Pseudomonadati; Pseudomonadota; Gammaproteobacteria; Vibrionales; Vibrionaceae. The record is from RNAcentral.
GUUGUAUGGUUAAGUGACUAAGCGUACACGGUGGAUGCCUUGGCAGUCAGAGGCGAUGAAAGACGUAGUAACUUGCGAUAAGCCCAGAUUAGGUAGUAACAACCAUUUGAGUCUGGGAUUUCUGAAUGGGGAAACCCACGUGCAUAAGCACGUAUCCUUACCUGAAUACAUAGGGUAAGGAGGCGAACCGGGGGAACUGAAACAUCUAAGUACCCCGAGGAAAAGAAAUCAACCGAGAUUCCGAAAGUAGCGGCGAGCGAAAUUGGACUAGCCCUUAAGCUUUACACGCGUUAGACGAACGGUCUGGAAAGUCCGACGAUACAGGGUGAUAGUCCCGUAGUUGACGACGUGUGUUCAGUGAAAUCGAGUAGGGCGGGACACGUGAUAUCCUGUCUGAAUAUGGGGGGACCAUCCUCCAAGGCUAAAUACUACUGACUGACCGAUAGUGAACCAGUACCGUGAGGGAAAGGCGAAAAGAACCCCUGUGAGGGGAGUGAAAUAGAACCUGAAACCGUGUACGUACAAGCAGUAGGAGCAGGCUUUGUCCUGUGACUGCGUACCUUUUGUAUAAUGGGUCAGCGACUUAUAUUCAGUGGCAAGGUUAACCAUCUAGGGGAGCCGUAGGGAAACCGAGUCUUAACUGGGCGUUCAGUCUCUGGAUAUAGACCCGAAACCAGGUGAUCUAGCCAUGGGCAGGUUGAAGGUUGAGUAACAUCAACUGGAGGACCGAACCGACUAAUGUUGAAAAAUUAGCGGAUGACUUGUGGCUAGGGGUGAAAGGCCAAUCAAACCUGGAGAUAGCUGGUUCUCCCCGAAAGCUAUUUAGGUAGCGCCUCGGACGAAUACUACUGGGGGUAGAGCACUGUUAAGGCUAGGGGGUCAUCCCGACUUACCAACCCUUUGCAAACUCCGAAUACCAGUAAGUACUAUCCGGGAGACACACGGCGGGUGCUAACGUCCGUCGUGGAGAGGGAAACAACCCAGACCGCCAGCUAAGGUCCCAAAUUACUACUAAGUGGGAAACGAUGUGGGAAGGCUCAGACAGCCAGGAUGUUGGCUUAGAAGCAGCCAUCAUUUAAAGAAAGCGUAAUAGCUCACUGGUCGAGUCGGCCUGCGCGGAAGAUGUAACGGGGCUAAGUAGUAAACCGAAGCUGCGGCAAUAUACUUUUGUAUAUUGGGUAGGGGAGCGUUCUGUAAGCGGUUGAAGGUGUGUGGUAACGCAUGCUGGACGUAUCAGAAGUGCGAAUGCUGACAUGAGUAACGAUAAAGGGGGUGAAAAACCUCCUCGCCGGAAGACCAAGGGUUCCUGUCCAACGUUAAUCGGGGCAGGGUAAGUCGACCCCUAAGGCGAGGCCGAAAGGCGUAGUCGAUGGGAAACGGGUUAAUAUUCCCGUACUUCUUACAAUUGCGAUGGGGGGACGGAGAAGGCUAGGUGGGCCUGGCGACGGUUGUCCAGGUUCAAGUGCGUAGGCUUGAGAGUUAGGUAAAUCCGGCUCUCUUUAAGGCUGAGACACGACGUCGAGCAUCUACGGAUGUGAAGUCAUUGAUGCCAUGCUUCCAGGAAAAGCCUCUAAGCUUCAGAUUGUAAGGAAUCGUACCCCAAACCGACACAGGUGGUCGGGUAGAGAAUACCAAGGCGCUUGAGAGAACUCGGGUGAAGGAACUAGGCAAAAUGGUACCGUAACUUCGGGAGAAGGUACGCUCUCGACGGUGAAGUCCCUCGCGGAUGGAGCUAUUGAGAGUCGCAGAUACCAGGUGGCUGCAACUGUUUAUUAAAAACACAGCACUGUGCAAAAUCGUAAGAUGACGUAUACGGUGUGACGCCUGCCCGGUGCCGGAAGGUUAAUUGAUGGGGUUAGACUUCGGUCGAAGCUCUUGAUCGAAGCCCCGGUAAACGGCGGCCGUAACUAUAACGGUCCUAAGGUAGCGAAAUUCCUUGUCGGGUAAGUUCCGACCUGCACGAAUGGCGUAAUGAUGGCCACGCUGUCUCCACCCGAGACUCAGUGAAAUUGAAAUCGCUGUGAAGAUGCAGUGUACCCGCGGCUAGACGGAAAGACCCCGUGAACCUUUACUACAGCUUGGCACUGAACAUUGACCCUACAUGUGUAGGAUAGGUGGGAGGCUUUGAAGCACGUACGCCAGUAUGUGUGGAGCCGUCCUUGAAAUACCACCCUUGUAGUGUUGAUGUUCUAACGUUGACCCCUUAUCGGGGUUGCGGACAGUGCCUGGUGGGUAGUUUGACUGGGGCGGUCUCCUCCCAAAGAGUAACGGAGGAGCACGAAGGUGGGCUAAUCACGGUUGGACAUCGUGAGGUUAGUGCAAUGGCAUAAGCCCGCUUGACUGCGAGAAUGACAAUUCGAGCAGGUGCGAAAGCAGGUCAUAGUGAUCCGGUGGUUCUGAAUGGAAGGGCCAUCGCUCAACGGAUAAAAGGUACUCCGGGGAUAACAGGCUGAUACCGCCCAAGAGUUCAUAUCGACGGCGGUGUUUGGCACCUCGAUGUCGGCUCAUCACAUCCUGGGGCUGAAGUCGGUCCCAAGGGUAUGGCUGUUCGCCAUUUAAAGUGGUACGCGAGCUGGGUUUAGAACGUCGUGAGACAGUUCGGUCCCUAUCUGCCGUGGGCGUUGGAAGAUUGAAGGGGGCUGCUCCUAGUACGAGAGGACCGGAGUGGACGAACCUCUGGUGUUCGGGUUGUGUCGCCAGACGCAUUGCCCGGUAGCUAAGUUCGGAAUCGAUAACCGCUGAAAGCAUCUAAGCGGGAAGCGAGCCCUGAGAUGAGUCUUCCCUGAUACUUUAAGUAUCCUAAAGGGUUGUCGGAGACUACGACGUUGAUAGGUCAGGUGUGUAAGUGCUGUGAGGCAUUGAGCUAACUGAUACUAAUUGCCCGUGAGGCUUAACCAUACAACACCCAAGGGGUUU